AGAAUUAUAGGCUAAUUCCAUUGUUGCAAUAAUCUUCCAAGGAAAAACAUGCUGGUGGCUGUAACCGAGAAUUAUACUGAUAGGAAUAUGGUAAUGGACUUUAGAUAUAUAACGGGCCAUGACAAUAAUCAAACUCUCUACAUCCCAUAGAAAGAAAGAAAAAAAAAGACUGAAGGGUUAGAACACAAUUCUCCACCCCCACCCCAAAAAAAAUUACAACAACAAAAAAGAAAUGGAACAACACUCUUUGUGUUUUUAGGGUUGGACAAUUAAAACUAAAAAGUAAAAAAGAAAACGAAAUUUGUAGUAAUUUUGUAAUUCUACCUUCUACUACAUUGACUUUGUUUUUCUUUUCAUAUCCAUCAAGUAUACCAUGCAUUAAUCUCAUCUUCCUGGGAACAAGACAAAACUUACGGAUAACAAUCAGACAUUACCAGGCCAGGGACCAAACAAUAAAGCCUAAUACCGGUGAAACAACUUAUAGAGACUUGACAAAGAAGCCAUUCACGAGGCACCUGGAGGAUUAUCAUGCCCCAUUCCAGGGCUAUGUCCUGGAGUAACCGUUGGCGUAUCAUUUGUUUCAUACUUGUUGGAACUGUUAAAUGAAAUCUCCCUAUGUAUAAUCUCAACUGGAGGAGGUUGAGAAAAUUUUGAAAACCUUGAUGCAUCUGCCAACUCAAAUUGUUGAAGAGCAAGGGAAAGAAAUAUGUAUAAAACAAGCAUAAAAAUGAUUUUGUGAUGUGAUGAUGCCAUUGAACAAAAUGAUUUUAGCUUGAUAGAGAAGUGAAUAACAAGAUGGCUAGCUUAAACCACUUUUAGGCUUGAAGAAG
RNAcentral lists this long non-coding RNA (830 nucleotides) under Nicotiana benthamiana. Its description in RNAcentral is "long non-coding RNA (NBEN_LNC016135)". The record is from RNAcentral. Lineage: Eukaryota; Viridiplantae; Streptophyta; Magnoliopsida; Solanales; Solanaceae.